CUUGGCGACGAUAGCAAAUCGGCUCCACCUGAUUCCAUUCCGAACUCAGAAGUGAAACGAUUUAGCGCUGAUGAUAGUGUGGCAUUCGCCAUGUGAAAGUAAGACAUUGCCAAGC
This 115-nucleotide ribosomal RNA is filed under the name Cysteiniphilum sp. QT6929. Lineage: Bacteria; Pseudomonadati; Pseudomonadota; Gammaproteobacteria; Thiotrichales; Fastidiosibacteraceae. The record is from RNAcentral.